GCCGGAGUGGCGAAACUGGUAGACGCGCCAGACUCAAAAUCUGGUUUGGGAAACCAAGUGUCGGUUCGAUUCCGACCUCCGGCA
Molecule: transfer RNA, 84 nt
Filed under: Methylomagnum ishizawai
Lineage: Bacteria; Pseudomonadati; Pseudomonadota; Gammaproteobacteria; Methylococcales; Methylococcaceae
Rfam family: tRNA
About the family: Transfer RNA (tRNA) molecules are approximately 80 nucleotides in length. Their secondary structure includes four short double-helical elements and three loops (D, anti-codon, and T loops).
Source: Rfam by way of RNAcentral